This 901-nucleotide long non-coding RNA is filed under the name Panax ginseng (ginseng). Its description in RNAcentral is "long non-coding RNA (PGIN_LNC017161)". Lineage: Eukaryota; Viridiplantae; Streptophyta; Magnoliopsida; Apiales; Araliaceae. The record is from RNAcentral.
ACGUCCUUUCGAUGAAGAUCAACAUAACUCUUUUGUCGAUCUUGUGAGGUUUUUAUACGUUGCCGGAUCGUUUAAAUCUUUUCCGUAGUCAUACGUACCAACUCCGGUCCCAACAACGUUGCUUCACCCACCUCAUCCCAGCAUACUGGAGAACAAAACUUUCUUACAUACAACGCUUCGAAUGGAGCCAUGCCAAUAUUUUCUUGAUAGCUGUUGUUGUAGGAAAACUCCACCAAUGGUAAGAACUUAUGAGGCGACCCCAAAUCCAGGUACUUGAAACCCGAACUCGGUGCUUCACGAUACCAUUUCUAUAAGCUGAAUAAUAGAAUAAUAAUAAUAUCUUCAAACUUAAUUUACAUACAUCAAAGUUUAUUUCCCAGGUACGAGACCUUCAAAUACAUUUCUUACAAUACUUGAACAGAUACCAAUACUAACUAUAACCAUUAACUCAUAAUAUAACUCAUUCGAACGGCUUCCCUUUUUCCCUUGUUCGUGCCUGAGCCUUCAGGUUGCUCAUACAUAACUGAAAACAUUUAAUUUAAGCAAGGGUGAACAUUUGAGUGCCCAGCAAGUAAUAACAAUUAUAUAUAUAAGCUGAAAGAACAUAAGUAUUCUCUUUACAUAACACUUCUACAAGGAAUUGAAAGUUGUGAAGUAAUCUGUACUGAUAAAAAAUUCACAUAACAACUCUCUUUCACAUUCUUUAAAUUUAGCUCUGGCUCUACCCUUGAAUAGGGUUUAAGAAACAUACUAUGAACAUUCUUUUUAUUUUCGAAAAGGUUUAACAGAAAUCCAUCCGCAAACCGUCAUAACUUAUGGGCACGGAAGGUGAUCAGCCCCGUUGUACCCUGUAUUUAUCAAUACUACAUAACCUGAACGAAAUUCAUCGCUCACUCUAUCC